This 484-nucleotide ribosomal RNA is filed under the name uncultured bacterium. RNAcentral describes it as "partial 16S ribosomal RNA". It matches the Rfam family "Bacterial small subunit ribosomal RNA", at positions 29 to 507 of the family's 1533-position model. The record is from RNAcentral.
AUUGAACGCUGGCGGCAUGCUUUACACAUGCGAGUCGAACGGCAGCGCGGGCUUCAGCCUGGCGGCGAGUGGCGAACGGGUGAGUAAUACAUCGGAACGUGCCCAGUAGUGGGGGAUAGCUCGGCGAAAGCCGGAUUAAUACCGCAUACGACCUGAGGGUGAAAGCGGGGGAUCUUCGGACCUCGCGCUAUUGGAGCGGCCGAUGGCAGAUUAGCUAGUUGGUGGGGUAAAGGCCUACCAAGGCGACGAUCUGUAGCUGGUCUGAGAGGACGACCAGCCACACUGGGACUGAGACACGGCCCAGACUCCUACGGGAGGCAGCAGUGGGGAAUUUUGGACAAUGGGCGAAAGCCUGAUCCAGCAAUGCCGCGUGUGUGAUGAAGGCCUUCGGGUUGUAAAGCACUUUUGGCGGGAACGAAAAGGACUGUGCCAAUACCACGGUUCGAUGACGGUACCCGCAGAAUAAGCACCGGCUAACUACGUG